Nicotiana attenuata is the source of this 2542-nucleotide long non-coding RNA. RefSeq lists it as uncharacterized. The record is from RefSeq and is a predicted model, not a curated record. The transcript is spliced from 2 exons. Lineage: Eukaryota; Viridiplantae; Streptophyta; Magnoliopsida; Solanales; Solanaceae.
CGACCACCCCAAAAUUCAUUGCUCAACUUUUUCGUUCCACCUCCGCUUCAAAACUUUUGCUCUGUUACUGAUUCGCUAUGCCAAAUCGUUGUACCUUUUUUGCUUCAAAUUUGUCUGCGUUAUUUUCGGUAUGACAAUAUCCAUCACUUUCGGUAUAACACUUCUCAAAGAUAUUGUGGUUUAAUUAACUUUGAUUCUAUAUUUAAGUUGCAUCUGUUAACAGAUAUUUGCAUCAUCAAACUUGUGAUGCAUAACAAUGAAGUAAAUUCGUAUUAUACGUUUUUGCAUGAAUUUUGUUUCAAACAUUUUCUUUUAACCCUGUAUUCUAUUGCACAUACUUAAUUUAUAGUCUAUAAAGCUGCUUACGUGAUCUGAGGACAUAAUGGUUUCUUCGAUAUCAUAGUCAUUUGAUUUAUUUGAAUACCUUACAUGUAUUUUGUUUAAUGAUUAUAACCUUAGAAACAUCCAACAUGGUGAUAUUUGGCUAGAGAAACCAGCAUAAUGGUUAAUGGUUAUAGCUGUCUGUGCGAAUCUUUUCAUCUCACACAAUUAGAAAUCCAUAAUCACAUAUAUUGUCAGUAUACUGUUGCUAUUUCUACUUGGUGGCUUCUCAUUGGUUUUGGGAGUUUCUUCUUCUAUAUGGAAGUGAAUUUUUCAUGUUGACGGUGUAAUUUGUAGUGUUUGUGCUUUGAAAUACUUUGCAAUAGGUUCUUUUUGGUCAUCUUUAUUCAAGUUUUAUUUCAAAAACUGAGAUUAUAUUUUGUCUUUUUUUAUUACAUGAUACUAAACUGUAAACUUUUGGGGCUUAACAAUAAUAAUCUUCAAAAUCUCAAACUAAUUUAGAGUUUUUAAGCCUAAGAGAUCACAUUAAAGAAGCUUGACAAAAUGACAUUGUAACUCUCUUCAUUAGCUUUUGUUUUUGGAUGUCCAAUGGAGAAAGAGGAGAAAAAACAUGAGAACUUGGGCUAUAAGUCAAUGGUGUUCUCCCCGGUCGGAGGUGAGAACUUAAAACUACAUACUGUUCAAGUGUAAGAUUGAUGUAUUUAUGAUUUCUUUUGUUCUCUAAAUUUACGAUGUUGUAUUGUUUAUAGAAACAGUGCAGGAGAUACAACUUGAUGCAGUUAAAUUCGGUUGAAUAGGGUGGUGCAUACAUGUAUAUUUUGCUAUCCCACAUGAACUAAAUUCUUUCGAACAAUAUAUUCUGGUUUUUGGAUGUUUGUAGAUACUAUUGACAUUAUGUAUUUUGUGCUUUUCUAUAUACUUAUAACAUUGAAUGGUGGAGUUUUGUAUGUUGUUUAUCUGGAAUAUAUAUUUUUUCUAAAAAAGUAGAUAUGCCCAUGAGUCAAGCCAUAGAGAUAAAAUGAUCUGCAAUAGACUCUGGUGUGAUGUUGAUGAUGAUGGCUCUUUGGUGUGCUUAAAUUUGGUUCUUCUCUAAAAUUUGUUCACGUAAUCAUUUUUGGUUUGCUGUAUUAUGAAUAUGUUGCCCGGACUCUUCGAUGGUAUCUUUGGAUGCACGUUGGAUCCUCUAAAAGUAGUAUAUUUGCGGAGGACCCGACACGAAUGCGGUAUUAUUUUGGAGAGUGUGCGACAUCGAUUAUUAUGAAACGAGCUUUCUUACAGUCAGGGGUAGAAUUAACAUAUUAUCAUUUGAGUGGAAUCUUCCGUUAGUACACCAAGGUUAAUUAGGAGUCAUAAUGGACCUUAAUUUGGAGUCAUGAUGGUAUAUAACGCAACUUUCUUAAAAGAUUGGAGUUGGAUGUACUAAAAUAAUGAUAUGUUCUUUGAGUUCCGUCUUCUCAAGAUUGGUUCUACUAUUGCCGGCCUACUCUUUCAGGUGUCAAAAAUAGCUUUAUUUACUGUUAUUCUCAUGAUGAUAACUUUUGUUUAGUGUAGAUAUGUACUUAAAUUUUUUAUUUUUGUGGUUUUACUAUUGGACUAUAUACCUUGAACAUUCUCAUAUGAGAAACAUGAGUUAUAAAGCUAAGAUAUACAAAAGUAUCGCAGAUUUGUGAUGAACUUCAAGUGAUGCAUAGGCCAUUGUCCUAUAGACAGAAGACUAAUUGUUUUAUACUAUAUUUUAUCUAGCUGUUAGGAUACAAUGCAUAAGAAUUAUUCCUUAUUUUGGUUUAAACUGAAAAAGGGAUAUUUGGCAAGGAUCUUUUGCAAUAUAGUACAAAGUGAAGAGAAUAAUGGAAGGUCAAUUUCCAGUUGACAAGGGGAUGAUUUUGAAGCUAAAGCUAUAUGAGCAGUGGGAUCACAGAGUCAUCAUCAUAAGUUGUUGAUGACUUUGGCAGACACGGGGAAAAUUAUUGACGUAGAAGGAUAGCAAAGCUACACCGCGCUUGGUUGAGUUGCUAGGUUAAUUGGCAAAAGUAGUUAUCAGGAAACUCGUGAGAACACGUGCCUCAUUGUCAUUUUUGUACUUGAUCAUUCCAGUAAUCUGUCAAAUAAUAAAUUUUUACAUUAAGGUUUAGGUUUAAAUGUAAACGCUUUCUAAGUCGUGAACUUUCAUUUUCACAGUUAUCCAUUCUUGAACUAGGCA